Molecule: ribosomal RNA, 483 nt
Filed under: uncultured bacterium
Lineage: Bacteria
Description: bacterial SSU rRNA
Rfam family: Bacterial small subunit ribosomal RNA
Source: RNAcentral
AUUGAACGCUGGCGGCAUGCCUUACACAUGCAAGUCGAACGGCAGCACGGGAGCAAUCCUGGUGGCGAGUGGCGAACGGGUGAGUAAUAUAUCGGAACGUGCCCAGGUCGUGGGGGAUAACGUAGCGAAAGCUACGCUAAUACCGCAUACGAUCUAUGGAUGAAAGCGGGGGAUCGCAAGACCUCGCGCGAUUGGAGCGGCCGAUAUCAGAUUAGGUAGUUGGUGAGGUAAAGGCUCACCAAGCCGACGAUCUGUAGCUGGUCUGAGAGGACGACCAGCCACACUGGGACUGAGACACGGCCCAGACUCCUACGGGAGGCAGCAGUGGGGAAUUUGGACAAUGGGCGCAAGCCUGAUCCAGCAAUGCCGCGUGCAGGAUGAAGGCCUUCGGGUUGUAAACUGCUUUGUACGGAACGAAACGGUGAGCUCUAAUACAGUUUGCUAAUGACGGUACCGUAAGAAUAAGCACCGGCUAACUACGUG